UCCCUGGUAGUCCAGGGGCUAAGACUCUGCACUCCCAAUGCACGGGGCAUGGGUUCGAUCCCUAGUCAGGGAA
RNAcentral lists this transfer RNA (73 nucleotides) under Bos taurus (domestic cattle). It matches the Rfam family "tRNA". From Rfam's summary of the family: Transfer RNA (tRNA) molecules are approximately 80 nucleotides in length. Their secondary structure includes four short double-helical elements and three loops (D, anti-codon, and T loops). The record is from Rfam by way of RNAcentral. Lineage: Eukaryota; Metazoa; Chordata; Mammalia; Artiodactyla; Bovidae. RNAcentral also lists the same sequence under 2 other names.